Molecule: ribosomal RNA, 497 nt
Filed under: uncultured bacterium
Lineage: Bacteria
Description: partial 16S ribosomal RNA
Rfam family: Bacterial small subunit ribosomal RNA
Source: RNAcentral
GAUGAACGCUGGCGGCGUGCCUAAUACAUGCAAGUCGAGCGAACAGACGAGGAGCUUGCUCCUCUGACGUUAGCGGCGGACGGGUGAGUAACACGUGGAUAACCUACCUAUAAGACUGGGAUAACUUCGGGAAACCGGAGCUAAUACCGGAUAAUAUAUUGAACCGCAUGGUUCAAUAGUGAAAGACGGUUUUGCUGUCACUUAUAGAUGGAUCCGCGCCGCAUUAGCUAGUUGGUAAGGUAACGGCUUACCAAGGCGACGAUGCGUAGCCGACCUGAGAGGGUGAUGCGCCACACUGGAACUGAGACACGGUCCAGACUCCUACGGGAGGCAGCAGUAGGGAAUCUUCCGCAAUGGGCGAAAGCUUGACGGAGCAACGCCGCGUGAGUGAUGAAGGUCUUCGGAUCGUAAAACUCUGUUAUUAGGGAAGAACAAAUGUGUAAGUAACUAUGCACGUCUUGACGGUACCUAAUCAGAAAGCCACGGCUAACUACGUG